CUACGGGUUGCUCCAGUGAGGAAUAUUGCACAAUGGGGGGAACCCUGAUGCAGCAACGCCGCGUGGAGGAUGACGCAUUUCGGUGUGUAAACUCCUUUUAUAUGUCAAGAAAAUGACGGUAGCAUAUGAAUAAGCGCCGGCUAACUCCGUGCCAGCAGCCGCGGUAAUACGGAGGGCGCAAGCGUUACUCGGAAUCACUGGGCGUAAAGAGCGUGUAGGCGGAUUAAAAAGUCAGAAGUGAAAUCCUAUAGCUUAACUAUAGAACUGCUUCUGAAACUCUUAAUCUAGAAUAUGGGAGAGGUAGAUGGAAUUUCUGGUGUAGGGGUAAAAUCCGUAGAUAUCACUAGGAAUACCUAAAGCGAAGGCGAUCUCCUGGAACAUUACUGACGCUAAGGCGUGAAAGCGUGGGGAGCAAACAGGAUUAGAUACCCGUGUAGUC
Molecule: ribosomal RNA, 439 nt
Filed under: uncultured bacterium
Lineage: Bacteria
Description: partial 16S ribosomal RNA
Rfam family: Bacterial small subunit ribosomal RNA
Source: RNAcentral